RNAcentral lists this ribosomal RNA (184 nucleotides) under uncultured bacterium. RNAcentral describes it as "partial 16S ribosomal RNA". It matches the Rfam family "Bacterial small subunit ribosomal RNA", at positions 1311 to 1500 of the family's 1533-position model. The record is from RNAcentral.
CCCGACUCCAUGAAGCUGGAUUCGCUAGUAAUCGCGCAUCAGCCACGGCGCGGUGAAUACGUUCCCGGGGCCUUGUACACACCGCCCGUCAAGCCAUGGAAGCCGGGGGGUGCCUGAAGUGCGCUGCCGCAAGGAGCGCCCUAGGGUAAAACCGGUGACUGGGGCUAAGUCGUAACAAGGUAAC